RNAcentral lists this unclassified non-coding RNA (203 nucleotides) under Hevea brasiliensis (rubber tree). The record is from RNAcentral. Lineage: Eukaryota; Viridiplantae; Streptophyta; Magnoliopsida; Malpighiales; Euphorbiaceae.
GUAAAAUCAUUAUAGCCAUCCCUUGAAUUUUCCUUCUUUGGAGAAGAAUCCCACGCAUCAUUGAAGCAAUCAUCACACUCCUCAUUAUGACUCCCCGAGUAAAAAUCCUCAACAAUGUCUGCAUCUUGGCAUUUCCCUUGACUUCCAAGCAUCUUGACUGCAGAGGAGAUAUCCAGUGGUUUCCAAGAACAAUUAAGAAUCAU